Molecule: unclassified non-coding RNA, 150 nt
Organism: Cercocebus atys (sooty mangabey)
Lineage: Eukaryota; Metazoa; Chordata; Mammalia; Primates; Cercopithecidae
Source: Ensembl
UCCUGGGACCUUGCUGCCCUCCUCCUUUGUCACUGUGGAGAAACAGGAAGGAAUGUUUAUUAGCCAGACUGACUGGGGUCACACCCAAGGCAAUAUCAGGUUUUUACCUCUCAUGGGCCUGGGAAGAGGUUCAAGGAUCAAGGACAAGGU